GGUUAAGUGACUAAGCGUACACGGUGGAUGCCUAGGCAGUCAGAGGCGAUGAAGGGCGUGCUAAUCUGCGAAAAGCGUCGGUAAGGUGAUAUGAACCGUUACAACCGGCGAUACCCGAAUGGGGAAACCCAGUGUGUUUCGACACACUAUCAUGUCAUGAAUACAUAGUGGCAUGAGGCGAACCGGGGGAACUGAAACAUCUAAGUACCCCGAGGAAAAGAAAUCAACCGAGAUUCCCCCAGUAGCGGCGAGCGAACGGGGAGGAGCCCAGAACCUGAAUCGGCUUGUGUGUUAGUGGAAGCGUCUGGAAAGUCGCGCAGCAAAGGGUGAUAGCCCCGUACACUAAAAUGCACAGGUCGUGAGUUCGAUGAGUAGGGCGGGACACGUGACAUCCUGUCUGAAUAUGGGGGGACCAUCCUCCAAGGCUAAAUACUCCUGACUGACCGAUAGUGAACCAGUACCGUGAGGGAAAGGCGAAAAGAACCCCGGCGAGGGGAGUGAAAUAGAACCUGAAACCGUGUACGUACAAGCAGUGGGAGCACCUUCGUGGUGUGACUGCGUACCUUUUGUAUAAUGGGUCAGCGACUUAUAUUUUGUAGCAAGGUUAACCGUAUAGGGGAGCCGUAGGGAAACCGAGUCUUAACUGGGCGAAUAGUUGCAA
This 661-nucleotide ribosomal RNA is filed under the name Klebsiella pneumoniae. RNAcentral describes it as "partial 23S ribosomal RNA". It matches the Rfam family "Bacterial large subunit ribosomal RNA", at positions 1 to 705 of the family's 2925-position model. The record is from RNAcentral. Lineage: Bacteria; Pseudomonadati; Pseudomonadota; Gammaproteobacteria; Enterobacterales; Enterobacteriaceae.